RNAcentral lists this unclassified non-coding RNA (23 nucleotides) under Mus musculus (house mouse). RNAcentral's name for it is "oocyte_clustered_small_RNA13995". The record is from RNAcentral. Lineage: Eukaryota; Metazoa; Chordata; Mammalia; Rodentia; Muridae.
GGCCAUGGAGGGGCUCUGCUUAC